RNAcentral lists this ribosomal RNA (585 nucleotides) under uncultured bacterium. RNAcentral's name for it is "partial 16S ribosomal RNA". It matches the Rfam family "Bacterial small subunit ribosomal RNA", at positions 355 to 1375 of the family's 1533-position model. The record is from RNAcentral.
UGGGGAAUUUUGGACAAUGGGGGAAACCCUGAUCCAGCCAUCCCGCGUGUGCGAUGAAGGCCUUCGGGUUGUAAAGCACUUUUGGCAGGAAAGAAACGUCGCGGGUUAAUACCCCGCGAAACUGACGGUACCUGCAGAAUAAGCACCGGCUAACUACGUGCCAGCAGCCGCGGUAAUACGUAGGGUGCAAGCGUUAAUCGGAAUUACUGGGCGUAAAGCGUGCGCAGGCGGUUCGGAAAGAAAGAUGUGAAAUCCCAGAGCUUAACUUUGGAACUGCAUUUUUAACUACCGGGCUAGAGUGUGUCAGAGGGAGGUGGAAUUCCGCGUGUAGCAGUGAAAUGCGUGGAUAUGCGGAGGAACACCGAUGGCGAAGGCAGCCUCCUGGGAUAACACUGACGCUCAUGCACGAAAGCGUGGGGAGCAAACAGGAUUAGAUACCCUGGUAGUCCACGCCCUAAACGAUGUCAACUAGCUGUUGGGGCCUUCGGGCCUUGGUAGCGCAGCUAACGCGUGAAGUUGACCGCCUGGGGAGUACGGUCGCAAGAUUAAAACUCAAAUGAAUUGACGGGGUCAUAGCUGUUUCCU